UCCCAAGGCUAAAUACUCUCUAGUGACCGAUAGUGAACCAGUACCGUGAGGGAAAGGUGAAAAGCACCCCGGGAGGGGAGUGAAAGAGUACCUGAAACCGUGUGCCUACAAGUAGUCGAAGCGCGUUCAUGCGUAACGGCGUACCUUUUGUAGAAUGGACCGGCGAGUUACGAUUGUAUGCAAGGUUAAGUGGAAGACACGGAGCCGUAGCGAAAGCGAGUCUGAAUAGGGCGAUUUAGUAUGCGGUCGUAGACCCGAAACCGUGUGAUCUACCCAUGUCCAGGGUGAAGGUCAGGUAACACUGACUGG
This 309-nucleotide ribosomal RNA is filed under the name Bacilli bacterium. RNAcentral describes it as "bacterial LSU rRNA". It matches the Rfam family "Bacterial large subunit ribosomal RNA", at positions 458 to 769 of the family's 2925-position model. Lineage: Bacteria; Bacillati; Bacillota; Bacilli. The record is from RNAcentral.